RNAcentral lists this RNase P RNA (356 nucleotides) under Dehalococcoidales bacterium. Its description in RNAcentral is "RNase P RNA component class A". It matches the Rfam family "Bacterial RNase P class A". Rfam says of the family: Ribonuclease P (RNase P) is a ubiquitous endoribonuclease, found in archaea, bacteria and eukarya as well as chloroplasts and mitochondria. Lineage: Bacteria; Bacillati; Chloroflexota; Dehalococcoidia; Dehalococcoidales. The record is from RNAcentral.
CAAGUAGACCGGGUGACCGCCCUGACUAAAUCGGGGAGGAAAGUCCGAGCUCUACCGGGCAGGGUGCCGGGUAACACCCGGGAGGGGCGACCCUACGGAAAGUGCCACAGAAACAUACCGCCCCGAUGAUGAAUCGGGGUAAGGGUGAAAUGGUGAGGUAAGAGCUCACCAGCGGACGGGUAACCGUUCGGCUGGGAAAACCACACCCGGAGCAAGACCAAAUAGGGGGAUAUAUGGACGCCCGGCCAGUCCCCGGGUUGGUCGCUUGACCCCGGUGGUAACAUCGGGGCUAGAUAGAUGGUCACCGUCCCGAUGCUAUCGGGAUACAGAACUCGGCUUACAGGUCUACUUGGCCC